AGUUUGUGGGUCGCCGACGGUCCGGCUGCCCCCGCCUCCUUCCGUCUGAUCCGCGCUCUCCCGCGGCUGCGCCGGCUCGGCCGCCCGGGAGACAAAGCACCGCCGCUGCCGCCGCCGCAACCGAGCAGGUCCCGGGCCAUGGCCGGGCCGCUCCCCGGCUCCGCGUCUCCCGUCCCGCCACUGCUGCCGUCGCCCUCGUCCGCGCCGUGAGGUUUUUGAGCACCAACUACAUGCCAGGCACUGGAAUUCAGACAAAGAACCUCUGCCCUCCUACAGCAGGCAAAAAUGACCCAGAUGUGGAAGCAGAGGCCCAGAGAGGCUUAAAGCUUGCCCGGGGUCACACAGCCUGGACACUACAGAGCUGACAUUUGAACCCAGAGAAGCGCAAGCCGAAACCAGAACCGAGCAGAGGGCAGGGAAGUGAGCAGUGGCCUGAGAGGUGUCAGCUGAGAUGCCUCCUCCUCCAGGAAGCCUUCCGGGGACCCCCCCUAUUCACGCUCUCGUGGUGUUUCCACCAUUGAAGCACUGAGCACACAGCAGAUGGACAGCGACUGCAGACACAAUGUCAACACCAAAGCUAAUGGUCCAGAGGGAGCUUUGGUUCCCAGAGCCCAGGGGGCACCUACUUCUACAGGUUCUUAGGUGGCUUGUGUGUGUCAGAUGAGGCUUCCUCCUCCACUCCUGCCCCCACCUGCAACCCGCGGCCACAUCCUGAGGAUUUCUGACUUCUGACCUCUGGAGCUGCAAAGCAAGUGUCCAAAGGGCCUGUCUUUGGCUUUACUUUGGAGCAAUUAGUUAUCCUAACCAAGGAGGAGGUCACUCAUCAUUUCAUUCCCACCGCAAGGACGUGUGGAAAAACUGGGGUGAUCAGAAGGUUUCCAGACAAAGAGGAAAGGUCUGUCUUGGGAUGCCACGUGCCCUUGGCUCACGGGUGAAUAAUGUUUAAUGCCACUUAGGGAACUCUCUUGACAUUAUUGGUCAAGAAAAAACAAACCUCCUGCAGCUUGAUACACAGAGAGACUCACCAUCAUGGGUUGAAGGAACCCAACCCCCACUCAUGAAAACAGUAUGGAAUACUGAGCCCUUAUGUGCCACACACUGUCUUAUGUGUUUUACAUGCAUCAUCAUUCCUGAUAAUGACCCUCUGAGUUGGCUGCUGUGAUACUCCCAUUUUACAGAUGGUGAGACCGAGGCCCUAGUUAUACAGCUGGGAAAGGGGCGCUGCUGUGUUGGUCACCAGAAAGCCCCUCUUGGCAUUUUUCCAUCAGGAGUCUAGAGGCACCCGCCACUCACACACUCCACUGAGGUGGGCACAGCUUGUAAACUGGCUGGUCUUAGGGCCACGGCCUGUGGCCCCCGAUUGGGGCAGGGCACAAUCACAGCUCCUCAGAUCUAGACCCCAGAGUCUAACCAGCUUCCACCUGCUGCAAUGAGUGGAAAGUGUAUUCCAAUCCUUCCAUCUUCCUUUGUUGGAGCCCACAGCACAAUCAUCAACCAAGAUGCCCACAGGACCUGGGCAGGCGGUGCAGGUGCAGACAGAGGCAAAUCAUGGGCACAUGUCCUAAUGGGGAGGGCCACUCCUCAGCUAGCUGCUGUCAUGUUGGAAUUUGGGCCCUGUGUGGCCAGAUCUUACUGUUUUCCAGUGAAGCCAGUAAUCGAGAUUUUUAAUGAAAUUAGAACAUUCUUUAACACCAUACACAAAAAUAAACU
This is an RNA transcript of Physeter macrocephalus (sperm whale), 1710 nucleotides long. It is a transcript of the gene named PH domain containing endocytic trafficking adaptor 1, with no coding region annotated. NCBI's taxonomy places the organism in Eukaryota, Metazoa, Chordata, Mammalia, Artiodactyla, Physeteridae. The record is from RefSeq and is a predicted model, not a curated record. The transcript is spliced from 5 exons.